This 72-nucleotide transfer RNA is filed under the name Cavia porcellus (domestic guinea pig). It matches the Rfam family "tRNA". From Rfam's summary of the family: Transfer RNA (tRNA) molecules are approximately 80 nucleotides in length. Their secondary structure includes four short double-helical elements and three loops (D, anti-codon, and T loops). Further hydrogen bonds mediate the characteristic L-shaped molecular structure. tRNAs have two regions of fundamental functional importance: the anti-codon, which is responsible for specific mRNA codon recognition, and the 3' end, to which the tRNAs corresponding amino acid is attached (by aminoacyl-tRNA synthetases). tRNAs cope with the degeneracy of the genetic code in two manners: having more than one tRNA (with a specific anti-codon) for a particular amino acid; and 'wobble' base-pairing, i.e. permitting non-standard base-pairing at the 3rd anti-codon position. The record is from Rfam by way of RNAcentral. Lineage: Eukaryota; Metazoa; Chordata; Mammalia; Rodentia; Caviidae.
GAGGAUAUAACUCAGCAGCAGAGUGCCUGCCUGACAAGCAUGAGGACCUGAGUUUGAUUCUUGGUUUAUUUU